Molecule: non-coding RNA, 45 nt
Filed under: Schistosoma mansoni
Lineage: Eukaryota; Metazoa; Platyhelminthes; Trematoda; Strigeidida; Schistosomatidae
Source: RNAcentral
AUCCAGCUGACGUGUCCCAAAUAGGAGGAAACGUGCGUCCUGGAU